CUUCCCCACCUUGACAUUUCUCCUUGCAAUACUCCCUGUGCAGUGAGAUCUCCCACACGAGGGGAUGCUCCCUGUAGGUAGAGUAGUGUGGCUCAAAACGGCUGGGAAGCAAUCGUCUAGCCAAAUCUACCCUCCUUACAGCUGAAGAACCCUUUUAAUUUCACAUUAAUCUAAGUUUGAGAGGUUUUUCCCUAGACUUUUAUUUGCCAUUUUUUCUUUGUUAUGUUUUAGAGAUGGGAAAGAAUAUGGAAGAGUAAAGAAAAAUGACUUUUAAUCUACCUGCUCCUGGAGAAAAAAAGUAUGAUAUUUGAUUUAAAAUAGCCUUAAGGUCUAUUUAAAUGUUUUGAAAAUCAAAGUUUGUAAAAUAGACACAAUCCUUUCUUUCUUUCUUUCUUUUUCUUUCUUUCAUCUUUCUUCUUUUUUUCUUUUUGAGAUGGAAUCUCAUUCUGUCACCCAGGCUGGCAUGCAGUGGCGCAAUCUCGGCUCACUGUAACCUCCGCCUCCAGGGUUCAUGCGAUUCUCCUGCCUCAGCCUCCUGAGUAGCUGGGAUUACAGGCACAUACCACCACGCCUGGCUAAUUUUUUGUAGUUUUAGUAGAGACGGGGUUUCACCAUGUUGGCCAGACUGGUCUCAAACUCCUGACCUCGUGAUCUGCCCGCCUCAGCCUCCCAAAGU
RNAcentral lists this long non-coding RNA (676 nucleotides) under Pan troglodytes (chimpanzee). RNAcentral's name for it is "long non-coding RNA NONPTRT003795". Lineage: Eukaryota; Metazoa; Chordata; Mammalia; Primates; Hominidae. The record is from RNAcentral.